UAAAUGAAUGGAAUGGUUAUACAGGGAGAUUAGUUGAAGGAGUAAAAGGUGAAAUUGAGGUUACUCCCCUUAAUAAAUAAAUUGUUUGUGACUUUAGUUGAAGCUAAAGAUUAUUAGAGUUAAACUAGGAUUAGAUACCCUAUUAUACUAGUAAAUAUAAGUAAGCCUAAAUUAUUAAUAGGUAUGUUCUUUAAACUUGAAGAAUUUGGCGGUGGUUAAUACUUAUUAGAGGAACCUGUUUUUGAAUCGAUACACCACGUGGAAUCUUACUCAUUUUAUUUAGCCUAUAUACCGUCAUUAUCAGAUGAUUUUUAGAGAGCUGUAAUCAUUAAGGUUUAUGAAUAUAGAUAAGAGAAAUUAGAUCAAGGUGUAGCUAAUGAAUGAGUUAAAAUGGGUUACAAUGAAAUUUUAUUCACUACGGAAUAGUUAUGUGAAAUGUGCUAUGAAGGAGGAUUUAAUUGUAAUGAAAGUUUAAUAAGCUUGAAAGAUAUAAGCUCUAAACCAUGUACAUAUCGCCCGUCGCUCUCAUUAUAUAGAU
RNAcentral lists this ribosomal RNA (538 nucleotides) under Neoliomera demani. RNAcentral's name for it is "partial 12S ribosomal RNA". Lineage: Eukaryota; Metazoa; Arthropoda; Malacostraca; Decapoda; Xanthidae. The record is from RNAcentral.